AACGAUGCAUAGCCGACCUGAGAGGGUGAUCGGCCACACUGGGACUGAGACACGGCCCAGACUCCUACGGGAGGCAGCAGUAGGGAAUCUUCCGCAAUGGACGAAAGUCUGACGGAGCAACGCCGCGGGUAUGAAGAAGGUUUUCGGAUCGUAAAGUACUGUUGUUAGAGAAGAACAAGGAUAAGAGUAACUGCUUGUCCCUUGACGGUAUCUAACCAGAAAGCCACGGCUAACUACGUGCCAGCAGCCGCGGUA
This 255-nucleotide ribosomal RNA is filed under the name Listeria monocytogenes. Its description in RNAcentral is "partial 16S ribosomal RNA". It matches the Rfam family "Bacterial small subunit ribosomal RNA", at positions 275 to 522 of the family's 1533-position model. The record is from RNAcentral. Lineage: Bacteria; Bacillati; Bacillota; Bacilli; Caryophanales; Listeriaceae.